Molecule: long non-coding RNA, 486 nt
Organism: Dicentrarchus labrax (European seabass)
Lineage: Eukaryota; Metazoa; Chordata; Actinopteri; Moronidae
Exons: 3
Source: RefSeq, a predicted model, not a curated record
UGCCUCCCAAAAAGCUAAAGAUGAAGAACGUCAGGUUCUUUUUCAGCAAAAGUGAGAAUCCAGGCAGCAGCAGCUCGACCACCCCAGAGAAUUCACAGCCUGAUGCCUCUCAGGGAGAGAUGCAAGGGAACGAGAAGAACUGAGAUGUCUUUUCCUCUGAAGAAUCGUCAGUUUCUGAUCACAGCUGGAUACGGGGAAACUGUUCCGAGUACAACAGCAGUCCUGAUAAAUCCUCGGUUUCCUAUGCAGUUUGUCCGGCCAACUUCAGUUUAAGUUUUGACACUUGAUAUUUACUGCAGUUACAUUAGUGCAUGCGUGGAAAUGUUUAAAAUGACUGAAGUCAUCCACUCUGUAAAUAAAACAAACCGUAUGCUGCUCUGGCAGAAUGAGUUUAUAUUUGUGUCAUUAUGUGAAUCUGCAUUUAUUGAUAUGGCGAUUGUAAACUCAUUAACACAAAAUGAUUGGUGUGGGAUACAUUAGGCUAAA